Molecule: ribosomal RNA, 489 nt
Filed under: Triticum aestivum (bread wheat)
Lineage: Eukaryota; Viridiplantae; Streptophyta; Magnoliopsida; Poales; Poaceae
Description: partial small subunit ribosomal RNA
Source: RNAcentral
AUGAUAUGCUUCUUCGCAGUCGAGUUGCACUUUGUAGACUGUGUGGCAAGACAAUUUGGAAGAAGACAAGGUAUUCCAAUUGAGGAGAGCAAGGAGGAAAUGCUAUCUCUGCAUCGGUUCGAUCGAAGGAACAAUCAGGAUAUAUCGGAUUGGACAAACAAACACCGUGCGUGGAUAGAAAUUUGGAAUCAAAGAGACACGUUAGUGCAAUCAUAGAAUAGACCUCACAAUCAGUCAGCAUAUCAGAAGUACCAAGUGUGGUAUGCGGAUCGUUACCGGUUAAAGCUGAAGCCUGGUUGGACUCAUGAGGAGUGGUCGGAGUUGGUGUCUGAAGACCCGGAGACUGCACAAGGUUAUCAAACCUUAAACAUGGUUGUGAGAGACACCAGAGGGGCUCACGUUGACUAUGCACCGAUGCAUGAUGAAAUGGUAGUCUGUUUGACCUAUUCUAACAUACUUGCAUCAUGUUGUCUUCUUUCAAAUACAUAA